GAACUUGCCCUUUAGACUGGGAUAACAAGAGGGAAACUUCUGAUAAUACUGGAUAAGUUAGUAUAUCGCAUGAUAUGCAAAUGAAAGCUACGGCACUAAAGGAGAGCUUUGCGUCCUAUUAGCUAGUUGGUAAGGUAAGAGCUUACCAAGGCGAUGAUAGGUAGCCGGCCUGAGAGGGUGGACGGCCACAAGGGGACUGAGAUACGGCCCUUACUCCUACGGGAGGCAGCAGAC
Molecule: ribosomal RNA, 234 nt
Filed under: uncultured Leptotrichia sp.
Lineage: Bacteria; Fusobacteriati; Fusobacteriota; Fusobacteriia; Fusobacteriales; Leptotrichiaceae
Description: partial 16S ribosomal RNA
Rfam family: Bacterial small subunit ribosomal RNA
Source: RNAcentral